AGGGCAGAGAAUUUCCCUUGGCACAUCUAAGUUUUUGGUUUUAUGCAACAACCGCUUUACUUGGGUAAUAGCUAAAAAAUCGAUUAAAAAAAAAAAAAAAAAACACGGAACAGACCAUGGAUGAAUGACGAGUAAUAUUUCUUCUUAAUGUCUGCUCCUGGAUCCCCAAACUCCUUCUCAGCAUACCCACGUUCUUCCACAUCCCUUUCUGGUUCUGUGUCAAACUCAAUGCUCUUCCCUUCUCACUGCUGCAAAAACUCAGACUACAAAUAAGAAGGCCCCCUUUCUCAAGGAGACAGUAAUCAACUUCCUAUUUCCUGUGUAUUAAUUCACCAAGGUUAAAGGACAAAUUUAAAAAGAGGGUAUUAUUCUAAAUCACUGCUACAUAUGCAAUCAAACUAGAGAACUACUUUCUUGAUUAGAAAAAUAUACAAGUGGACGCCCACUGCCAUGGCGACUCUGCUGCGCCCUGUCCUGCGCCGGCUCCGCGGGCUCCGCGGGCUUCCCGGCCUCCUGCGGCUUGCAGCACAAAUGCCUCUCCGGGCCAGGAGCGACGGCGCCGGCGCCGGCCCGCUGUACUCGCAACCACAUCCCCACCUCCCCGCUGCAGAAAGCGCUGCUGGCCGCCGGCUCCGCGGCAAUGGCGCUCUAUGACCCCUGCCGCCACGACAUGGUCGCAGUUCUAGGGGAGACCACAGGACACCGCACCCUGAAGGUCCUCAGGGACCAGAUGAGGAGGGAUCCAGAGGGUGCCCAGAUCCUGCAGGAGCGUCCCCGGAUUUCGACGUCCACCCUCAGAGCCUGCCAGAAGGCUCCCUGGGUCGCGAGUAUCUCCGUUUCCUGGAUGUGAAUAGGGUCUCCCCAGACACCCGAGCACCCACCCGCUUCGUGGAUGAUGAUGAGCUAGCGUAUGUGAUUCAGCGAUACCGGGAGGUGCACGACAUGCUUCACACCCUGCUGGGGAUGCCCACCAACAUCCUGGGGGAGAUGGUGGUGAAAUGGUAUGAGGCUGUCCAGACUGGUCUGCCCAUGUGCAUCCUGGGUGCUCUCUUUGGACCGAUCCAACUCAGUACUCAGAGCCUGCAAGUGCUGGUCUCGGAGUUGAUCCCAUGGGCCGUUCAGAACGGGCGCACAGCCCCAUGUGUCUUCAACCUGUACUAUGAGCGGCGCUGGGAGCAGUCCCUGAGGGCUCUACGGGAGGAGCUGGGCAUUGCGGCACCACCCGUGCAUAUCCAGGGCUUGGCCUGAGUUCCUGGGCCAGCGGGGCCUGGCCUACUUCCCCCAUCUACUGCUUCCCUUGGGGGCAGAGGGCUCCCUUGACUACCUUUGUUCCUCUUCUUUGAACACUGACCCUUGGACAACAUUUAUCACAAUUUGUUAUAGCCACUGCUGAGUGGCCUUGAGGACGAACCCCACAGGGAGCAAGCAGUACAGAGGCACUCCCAGGGGGACCAGCAGCUGUCCAAGGAGAACCAUGCGUGAACAGUAUCAGUCGUCUGGGCUCAUGCUGGGAUGUUGCAGCACUCCUGUUGCGACUCCUUCCAACCAGCCAGGUUUGCUGGAGGCCAGGCUGGGUGUCCUCACAGGAGUGAGUGCUACACCCAAUUCCAAAAGCCCGAGAAGAGAGAAGCGGAGGGGGAGGCGAGUGUGUGAAUAAAGGCUCCCAUCAGGUCAAAAAAAAAAAAAAAA
This is an RNA transcript of Macaca mulatta (Rhesus monkey), 1689 nucleotides long. It is a transcript of the gene named ubiquinone biosynthesis protein COQ4 homolog, mitochondrial pseudogene, with no coding region annotated. Lineage: Eukaryota; Metazoa; Chordata; Mammalia; Primates; Cercopithecidae. The record is from RefSeq and is a predicted model, not a curated record.